AGACCCGAAACCCGGUGAUCUAGCCAUGGGCAGGUUGAAGGUUGGGUAACACUAACUGGAGGACCGAACCGACUAAUGUUGAAAAAUUAGCGGAUGACCUGUGGCUGGGGGUGAAAGGCCAAUCAAACCGGGAGAUAGCUGGUUCUCCCCGAAAGCUAUUUAGGUAGCGCCUCGUGAAUUCAUCUCCGGGGGUAGAGCACUGUUUCGGCUAGGGGGCCAUCCCGGCUUACCAACCCGAUGCAAACUGCGAAUACCGGAGAAUGUUAUCACGGGAGACACACGGCGGGUGCUAACGUCCGUCGUGAAGAGGGAAACAACCCAGACCGCCAGCUAAGGUCCCAAAGUCAUGGUUAAGUGGGAAACGAUGUGGGAAGGCCCAGACAGCCAGGAUGUUGGCUUAGAAGCAGCCAUCAUUUAAAGAAAGCGUAAUAGCUCACUGGUCGAGUCGGCCUGCGCGGAAGAUGUAACGGGGCUAAACCAUGCACCGAAGCUGCGGCAGCGAACGUAUCACCCAAGACAACUUUACGGAGUUGACGAUUGACGGAGCGAAGCGACGUCAAAGCGUUCAUUAAAGUCGAGUUGGCUUAGGGAUACGUUCGUUGGGUAGGGGAGCGUUCUGUAAGCCUGUGAAGGUGUGUCGUGAGGCAUGCUGGAGGUAUCAGAAGUGCGAAUGCUGACAUAAGUAACGAUAAAGCGGGUGAAAAGCCCGCUCGCCGGAAGACCAAGGGUUCCUGUCCAACGUUAAUCGGGGCAGGGUGAGUCGACCCCUAAGGCGAGGCCGAAAGGCGUAGUCGAUGGGAAACGGGUUAAUAUUCCCGUACUUGGUGUUACUGCGAAGGGGGGACGGAGAAGGCUAUGUUGGCCGGGCGACGGUUGUCCCGGUUUAAGCGUGUAGGUGUGUGUUCCAGGUAAAUCCGGUUCACUUUAACACUGAGGCGUGACGACGAGGCACUACGGUGCUGAAGCAACAAAUGCCCUGCUUCCAGGAAAAGCCUCUAAGCAUCAGGUAACACGAAAUCGUACCCCAAACCGACACAGGUGGUCAGGUAGAGAAUACCAAGGCGCUUGAGAGAACUCGGGUGAAGGAACUAGGCAAAAUGGUGCCGUAACUUCGGGAGAAGGCACGCUGACACGUAGGUGAAGUGAUUUACUCAUGGAGCUGAAGUCAGUCGAAGAUACCAGCUGGCUGCAACUGUUUAUUAAAAACACAGCACUGUGCAAACACGAAAGUGGACGUAUACGGUGUGACGCCUGCCCGGUGCCGGAAGGUUAAUUGAUGGGGUCAGCGUAAGCGAAGCUCCUGAUCGAAGCCCCGGUAAACGGCGGCCGUAACUAUAACGGUCCUAAGGUAGCGAAAUUCCUUGUCGGGUAAGUUCCGACCUGCACGAAUGGCGUAAUGAUGGCCAGGCUGUCUCCACCCGAGACUCAGUGAAAUUGAACUCGCUGUGAAGAUGCAGUGUACCCGCGGCAAGACGGAAAGACCCCGUGAACCUUUACUAUAGCUUGACACUGAACAUUGAGCCUUGAUGUGUAGGAUAGGUGGGAGGCUUUGAAGUGUGGACGCCAGUCUGCAUGGAGCCGACCUUGAAAUACCACCCUUUAAUGUUUGAUGUUCUAACGUGGACCCGUAAUCCGGGUUGCGGACAGUGUCUGGUGGGUAGUUUGACUGGGGCGGUCUCCUCCUAAAGAGUAACGGAGGAGCACGAAGGUUGGCUAAUCCUGGUCGGACAUCAGGAGGUUAGUGCAAUGGCAUAAGCCAGCUUGACUGCGAGCGUGACGGCGCGAGCAGGUGCGAAAGCAGGUCAUAGUGAUCCGGUGGUUCUGAAUGGAAGGGCCAUCGCUCAACGGAUAAAAGGUACUCCGGGGAUAACAGGCUGAUACCGCCCAAGAGUUCAUAUCGACGGCGGUGUUUGGCACCUCGAUGUCGGCUCAUCACAUCCUGGGGCUGAAGUAGGUCCCAAGGGUAUGGCUGUUCGCCAUUUAAAGUGGUACGCGAGCUGGGUUUAGAACGUCGUGAGACAGUUCGGUCCCUAUCUGCCGUGGGCGCUGGAGAACUGAGGGGGGCUGCUCCUAGUACGAGAGGACCGGAGUGGACGCAUCACUGGUGUUCGGGUUGUCAUGCCAAUGGCACUGCCCGGUAGCUAAAUGCGGAAGAGAUAAGUGCUGAAAGCAUCUAAGCACGAAACUUGCCCCGA
This 2195-nucleotide ribosomal RNA is filed under the name Salmonella enterica. RNAcentral describes it as "partial 23S ribosomal RNA". It matches the Rfam family "Bacterial large subunit ribosomal RNA", at positions 711 to 2802 of the family's 2925-position model. RNAcentral also lists the same sequence under 5 other names. Lineage: Bacteria; Pseudomonadati; Pseudomonadota; Gammaproteobacteria; Enterobacterales; Enterobacteriaceae. The record is from RNAcentral.